UGAGCAUCCUGGAGCGAAUCGAGAAUACCUCCUCGUUCUGGGCAUUCCACUCCUUGAAAGGACUUCUAGAGCUUAAGAUCUAAGCUCUCGAAUCGAAAGAACCGAAUGAGAGGAUUAGAAAAUCUUCCUGGAAGAUCUCUAACCGCGAAGCGAUGAGAGCUAAAAUGCUAAUGAGAGGAGAGCGCACUUCUUUUCCAACGGGCAGUGUAUUGGAGACUUGAUGAAUAGCGUUGGUCCGCAACACAUGGAAGGAUACCACGUGGCGGGUCUGGAUUCGUCCAGCUAGAUUGGCUUUAACGGCAGUGUUCUCUUGGUGGCGGAGAAUAUUCGGCCUUUUUCAACGGUCGCGAUGGUUGGUAAGGAGAUCAAGAAAGAAGAGUGCAGCCA
This is a long non-coding RNA of Selaginella moellendorffii, 387 nucleotides long. RefSeq lists it as uncharacterized. Lineage: Eukaryota; Viridiplantae; Streptophyta; Lycopodiopsida; Selaginellales; Selaginellaceae. The transcript is spliced from 2 exons. The record is from RefSeq and is a predicted model, not a curated record.